GGCGCUAUAGCCAAGUGGUUACGGCGACAGAUUCGAACCUAUGUUGGAUAUCUGUUCCUCUUUGAGGGCGCAAGUUCGAAUCUUGCUGGCGUCG
This 94-nucleotide transfer RNA is filed under the name Leucoagaricus sp. SymC.cos. It matches the Rfam family "tRNA". Rfam says of the family: Transfer RNA (tRNA) molecules are approximately 80 nucleotides in length. Their secondary structure includes four short double-helical elements and three loops (D, anti-codon, and T loops). The record is from Rfam by way of RNAcentral. Lineage: Eukaryota; Fungi; Basidiomycota; Agaricomycetes; Agaricales; Agaricaceae.